Molecule: long non-coding RNA, 2376 nt
Organism: Oncorhynchus mykiss (rainbow trout)
Lineage: Eukaryota; Metazoa; Chordata; Actinopteri; Salmoniformes; Salmonidae
Source: Ensembl
ACGUAUUACUUAUUCGAACAAUCAAUGGACAUUUGGAGACGAAUGAGCGGGAGGACCGUUGUCAAUCAAGGGUCAGCGCUAUCCGGGAUCCUUGGGACAUACACCAUUGAAGUUGACAUGUGAAAGGGUAAGGGUAAGGGUAAGGGUUAGGUUAUGGGUUAAGGUUAGGGUAUGGGUUAAGGUUAGGGUUAGGGUUUAGGGCAGUGAUCGCACUGCCAGUCAAUCAAGUAGGCCAGAGCGCGCAGAGAGCCGAUUAUGACGUGUCCUGGGCUCCUUCUACGCAACAAUGUAAAUAACGGUGUAAUUGCCGUUUUCAACACAGUGGCUCAUUUGCAAAGUUUCACUUGCUCUUGCAACAUCUGAUUUUACAGACUGCGACAAUUACUAUAGCCUAUGAUUGCAAGACUCCGGUAAGUAGAAGGCCAUUUAUAUCUGUGAUAAAAUGCCUGGUUUUAGUCAAUAGGCCUAUUUGUUUAAAAGUAGGCUAAUUUGAAAUCAAUAAAUAAAUCUCACUUGCCUAAAAGUAGGCUAAUUUGAAAUCAAUAAAUAAAUCUCACUUGCCCCCCCCCCCCCCCCCCCCCCCCCCUCUCAGUCAUGCCUAGGAGAAGCGCGAGGCUAGUAACCGGAGGGUACUAUAACCAGUCCUCCGAUGAUGAGUCUUCCUCCUGCAUCUCCUACAGGGAGAGCCCCGUCAGGUGAAUAUCUGUAUGAGUGCAUCUUGCGUGUGAUCUUUUUUGCAUUGAACGGUAGUGUUAGAACAGUGUUAAAACUGUGUGUGUCCCUCUCAGGGUUUUCAAUAAGAAGAGAACUGGGGGACAUAAGGAUUCUUCCCGAUCCAGUCAGGCCAGCAGCACUGUCAGUGCCACCAACUUCACCAAUGAGCGAAACAUCAAUGCUGAUGACAUUGAUUUGUCUCCAACAUUGAGGGUCACCCAGAGAAGGCAGACCUUCCUGUCUCCUCCUAGUGUGGCCCCCAGUGUGGCCCUGGACCCCAGCCUGAGCUUCUCAAGCAUGAGCUACUGCUCUGAAGAGCCACAAAGGCCUAGGACAUGCUCCAGCAGGAGCUUCUCUAGUGGAAUUGGCACAAGGACCGAUGCUAUUUUCAGUGAGUGCAAUGUGUAUGUGUUUGUGUACGAGAGACAACAUUAGAGACAGCUGGUCUCUAUACUCGUAGUUUGUUAGCAUUAGCAUUAGCUGAGCGUUAGCUUUUCUCUCUGCUUGUGCCUUGUUUGUUAGCAUUAGUAUUAGCUUUGGCCCUAUGUGUUUCCCCCUGUAGCCCGUUCAUGGUUGCCUUCCUGGUUUGCCAUCCUGCUCUUCCUCCUCCCCUUUCUUCUGACCUUCGGUGAGUGCUACAUCACAUGUUUACACAUCUAAAUGUCCUCCUAAUCAACUAGAUGUCGUCUGUGUAACUAGUACUACAAUGUCUUCCCAGCCGUAUUCCUGUUUUCGACUGCAUUCCCCACCAUGAACCUUAAUCUGAUGACCCGACCGACUCAACCUGACCCUCGACCUGAUCUGACUCAAAAGACUACGGUAGGACCUGUUUUUCAUCUGUCUAAUACUGUACUUAGCCCUACUGUUUGUCUCAUGUCUAUUAUCUAUGCAUUGAUUGGGUGAAUGUUGCAUUGAAGUUAUGAGCCUGAUUGUCCAAUAAGGACUUGUUGAAUCUCUUUCUACAGCAUGGAACUCCUAUCAUGAAUUCAGCUUUCGAAAUGCAAAUGGAUACUAUACUGGUGAGAGAGCGAGGGAGAGAGAGAGAGAGAGAGAGAGAAAGUGAGAGAAGGGGAGGGGGGGGGGGGGGGGGGGGGGGGUGGAGCAUACCGAAAAUAGGUUGGAGACAAUUCUAUUUUAAUUCCAUCACUUCAGGGAAGUACACAAACAUUCAAAUUCCUAGUCUCUUAUGCUUUUCAAUUCUGAACAUUUUUCAUUUAAAUUGGAGUUUGGUUCACUUUCUCAAUUGACUAGAAUUGAAAUGGAAUUGACCUCAAUCAUGAUGGACAUGUUGCAUGUGUGUGUGUGUCUUGCAGAGAGAGAUUGAAAUUAUGAAACAGAAAGAAAACCAGCAACAGGACAUUUCCGAGGUGAGACACGUCAAUCUAACCCUUUAAAUAGACAUACCUUCAAAGUUUAAAAACACUGCCCAAUGUUGUGUUUCGUCCAAUAUUCUUUAAUUUAGGUGUCAAUAAUUGCCUCUCAGGAAGGAAUGAAGAUAAUUUAAUUGAGUUUGUCUUACCCUAUAGAUGUUACAAAGAAUGACUAAGGACCUGAGGUGUGUGAAGACCGAGAUUGACGACAUGAGAGUGAGGGUGGACAGGUGAGUGUGUGCCAGUCCUGAAACAAGCUCAGUGCCUUGCCCCUAGCUCCUAGCCCCUAACC